UACGUAGGUGGCAAGCGUUGUCCGGAAUUACUGGGCGUAAAGCGCGCGUAGGCGGCUUUUCAAGUCGAUUGUGAAAUCCCCGGGCUUAACCUGGGAACUGCAGUCGAGACUGUCUAGCUAGAGUAUGGGAGAGGGAAGUGGAAUUUCAGGUGUAGCGGUGAAAUGCGUAGAUAUCUGAAGGAACACCGAUGGCGAAGGCAAUCCCCUGGGCCUGCACUGACGCUCAUGCACGAAAGCGUGGGGAGCAAACAGG
Molecule: ribosomal RNA, 253 nt
Filed under: uncultured bacterium
Lineage: Bacteria
Description: partial 16S ribosomal RNA
Rfam family: Bacterial small subunit ribosomal RNA
Source: RNAcentral